UAUCACUCUUGUCAGAGCGGUCGUGGU
This 27-nucleotide non-coding RNA is filed under the name Bombyx mori (domestic silkworm). The record is from RNAcentral. Lineage: Eukaryota; Metazoa; Arthropoda; Insecta; Lepidoptera; Bombycidae.